CAGAGGGUGCAAGCGUUGUUCGGAAUUACUGGGCGUAAAGCGCGCGCAGGCGGAUCCUGCAAGUCAGAAGUGAAAUCUCAUUGCUCAACGAUGAGGCUGCUUUGGAUACUGCGGAUCUGGAGACCGGUAGAGGCUGGUAGAAUUGCAGGUGUAGCGGUGGAAUGCGUAGAGAUCUGCAAGAAUACCCGUGGCGAAGGCGGCCAGCUGGGCCGGUUCUGACGCUGAGGCGCGAAAGCGUGGGGAGCAAACAGGAUUAGAUACCCUGGUAGUCCACGCCGUAAACGAUGGGCACUAGGUGCUGGGGGGAGCGACCCCGUCAGUGCCGUAGCUAACGCGAUAAGUGCCCCGCCUGGGGAGUACGGCCGCAAGGCUG
RNAcentral lists this ribosomal RNA (373 nucleotides) under uncultured organism. Its description in RNAcentral is "bacterial SSU rRNA". It matches the Rfam family "Bacterial small subunit ribosomal RNA", at positions 526 to 896 of the family's 1533-position model. The record is from RNAcentral.